AACUUUCAACAACGGAUCUCUUGGCUCUCGCAUCGAUGAAGAACGCAGCGAAAUGUGAUAAGUAAUGUGAAUUGCAGAAUUCAGUGAAUCAUCGAAUCUUUGAACGCACCUUGCGCUCUCUGGUAUUCCGGAGAGCAUGUCUGUUUGAGUGUCAU
RNAcentral lists this ribosomal RNA (155 nucleotides) under Curvibasidium pallidicorallinum. RNAcentral's name for it is "5.8S ribosomal RNA". It matches the Rfam family "5.8S ribosomal RNA". From Rfam's summary of the family: 5.8S ribosomal RNA (5.8S rRNA) is a component of the large subunit of the eukaryotic ribosome. It is transcribed by RNA polymerase I as part of the 45S precursor that also contains 18S and 28S rRNA. Lineage: Eukaryota; Fungi; Basidiomycota; Microbotryomycetes. The record is from RNAcentral.